AUGCUGUUCCUUCUUCUGGGAAUGCAGCUCCUCCUCCUGGCCUGUCCUUUGUCCUGCCUUCCCCUAACACAUGCAGCGCUCAAAGCUUUCUUGGAGACUCAGCUUGAACAACAUCUUUUCAGUGAUGUGAACCUGCUCUUCCUGAUUGAAGGUACCAGCGUGCUCCUGAGCGGCUGUGAGCGACGUCGGCUCCCGACGAGGAGGGGCUGUGACUCAGCGCUGCAACUGCCAGAGCUGCGCCGAGAGCUAAGCCGAGCGGACGGGAGGUGCGUCUCCCCGCAAAACCCCGCGUCAAAAAACGCCUACCAAAUGCUUUCUCGUUUGGACCCAGACUCCAGUUCCGGAGGUGAGCGCGUUGUACUAAUUUGGUGGGGCAGGGGGAAGGAUAGUGACCUUGGGUGGGCUCUUAAGCACGUGGAAAGGAGACUCCCCAAGAUAGGAUUGAUUAUGCGUUAGGGGUUUUCUGCCCCCCAAGAGGCACUUCUGUGCCUGGACCGUAUACCGGUGACUAGGUUGUCCUCGGAAUGAGGUCUUUGAGAUUUGGGAACCCAGGGGGGUAGAGAAGUGCGUGUUUCUGCAAUUUUCUUGAAUCGUUAAAAGAAUUGCAAUCACAAGGAUUGUUCUGUCAGAUGCCUUGGUUUGCGUACGUUUCAUAGCUCAUGUGGUUUGUUUGCCGAAGCAAGUUUUAUUUUUCAAGCUGCUCGUCUUGCUCGUUUAAAGCAGAGAGGGAGAAAAAACAGUUGUUAUAGUACGUUAUUUCUCUACCAGAAUAACUUACUCAUUUUUUUUCCCCCUCAGCAGUCUGGUAGCCGGAUCCCCUAGGAGGAGAAGUAGUAAAGCGGUAAGAAGAAAGCAUUUCAGUUUGGAA
RNAcentral lists this long non-coding RNA (868 nucleotides) under Canis lupus familiaris (dog). RNAcentral describes it as "lncRNA (ENSCAFG00040019055.1)". Lineage: Eukaryota; Metazoa; Chordata; Mammalia; Carnivora; Canidae. The record is from RNAcentral.